AUUGAACGCUGGCGUCAUGCCUUACACAUGCAAGUCGAACGGCAGCACGGGUGCUUGCACCUGGUGGCGAGUGGCGAACGGGUGAGUAAUACAUCGGAACGUACCUUAUCGUGGGGGAUAACGCAGCGAAAGCUGUGCUAAUACCGCAUACGCCCUGAGGGGGAAAGCGGGGGAUCGCAAGACCUCGCGCGAUUAGAGCGGCCGAUGCCUGAUUAGCUUGUUGGUGGGGUAAAAGCCCACCAAGGCGACGAUCAGCAGCUGGUCUGAGAGGACGAUCAGCCACACUGGGACUGAGACACGGCCCAGACUCCUACGGGGGGCAGCAGUGGGGAAUUUUGGACAAUGGGGGCAACCCUGAUCCAGCAAUGCCGCGUGAGUGAAGAAGGCCUUCGGGUUGUAAAGCUCUUUUGUCAGGGAAGAAACACCGGCUCUAACACAGUCUGGGAAUGACGGUACCUGAAGAAUAAGCACCGGCUAACUACGUGCCAGCCGCCGCCGUAA
Molecule: ribosomal RNA, 501 nt
Filed under: uncultured bacterium
Lineage: Bacteria
Description: partial 16S ribosomal RNA
Rfam family: Bacterial small subunit ribosomal RNA
Source: RNAcentral